CGAGCCGCGGAAGCACACGAAACUCCCACGCGCUUAUUGCUCUUCGGUCGUCAGAAGCUCAAUUAAAAUUCCCACGGAAAUUUCUCAUCCGCCCGGGACACUUAUCCCGUCGUCGUACGACACACUAACGCGUUGUGGAAUUUCUCUCGCCGCUAUUUUUCUUCUCGCCGCAAUUUCAAGCGGGCGGACCUUAGCGUCGUUUCUAAGAAACAAAUGGUGAAACUUGGACAGCCCGUGUCUCCGUUCUCGCCAGGGUAACUUGGCGCGUCGCGUCGGUGAAAAGGCGCGCGUGAGAGAGCCGAAGAAAGCUCUCUUCUUCUCUCGAGAAGCUAUGCAAAUUUCAUUUCAAGAGCGCCGUCUUAACGGCCGAAGCCUUAAAGGGGACUUGCCCCGUUCGCUCUAAUCGCGGCCGUGUCCUUAAUUGGCGGAGCGUACACAACGCAAGUGAGUAAAAACCCGGUUGUUUGCGAAACUCCGAGAUGCACGUUAAGCGCCGUAUAAUUCGCUCCUUAAUGCCCGAUUAUCAUGCAUUAUCCUGGUGCACGUGCGGAUGCACGACGCACGCGCAAAGCUGAAUGAAAUUAUUAUCGGGAUAUCUACCAGUUUUGUAGCCUGUUCCGGCGGAUGACUCGGGGUUGCGUUAUCGGUUUAUUCUCUCAUAAGUAACGCCGCUAUUAUGCCAGCUCGUUUGUAUAUCGAGAAGAUUCGAUUAAAGUUUGCGUAAUCGUGGCGUCAGUUUAUCAAAGGUAUAGCUACUAGGAUUAUAGGAGACAAGACGAAAAUUAACGUUAUGAUGUACUCGAUUGAUAUAAUUAAUAAUUUGUAAUGCGAAAAAUAAUAUCGCGAUUGUUAACAAGUAACUUGUUAAACGGUGAUGAGUUGGAACGGAACUUGCAAUUUCGUAUUAUCGCGGAACACGUCUCGCGCCGCAACCUCGUUAACUAUCCCGAGACCACGAAAUUCGAUUAACGUAUUCGUUCGUAAUGUAUCCGCUUCGGUGUAAAUCCAAAGCCCGUUUACAACUACUGACAACUUCGAUGUAGAUAGCGAUACAAGGAGCUAACUCGCUACAUGAUAUACUUCGGAAUUAUUAUGGAGUAUUAAGAACUGAUGUUUCUCUAAUAGUCCUAACAACUCUACUUGGCUGAUUAAGCCGCAGGGGAAUCCGCAAUUAUACGAGAUUUGGGGUGCGUACCUUACUCGUGUAUUCUAUUCGCGUGCUUUACACGUAUGCUUUAUUCGCGUGCUCUACUCGUUUACCCUAAUUAAAUACAUCGACAUUUCUGCAAUUGCACACCAAUUGGACCUAUCUUCUGGCCACACUUGGCUCCAGCCAAAGAUUAGAAAAUGAGAUGAACACUAAUCGAAUACAUCGACAUUCCUGCUAUAUUGCACAUUAAAGAAGAGAAAUUUCUUUUAUUGUGUCGGCUAAUUAUCGUCGCCGGCAGAGGAGCGUAAAUAUUUUACAUUGACGAUCGUGCGAUUUUACGAUCGUUUCUUGAACGUUGAUUUUAAUAUAUAUUUAAUUUAACUAACAAUAAGA
Long non-coding RNA from Nylanderia fulva, 1543 nucleotides. RefSeq lists it as uncharacterized. The record is from RefSeq and is a predicted model, not a curated record. NCBI's taxonomy places the organism in Eukaryota, Metazoa, Arthropoda, Insecta, Hymenoptera, Formicidae.